RNAcentral lists this ribosomal RNA (376 nucleotides) under uncultured bacterium. RNAcentral describes it as "bacterial SSU rRNA". It matches the Rfam family "Bacterial small subunit ribosomal RNA", at positions 523 to 898 of the family's 1533-position model. The record is from RNAcentral.
AUACGUAGGGAGCAAGCGUUGUCCGGAUUUACUGGGUGUAAAGGGUGCGUAGGCGGCACUGCAAGUCAGGUGUGAAAACCAUGGGCUUAACUUAUGGAUUGCACUUGAAACUGUGGUGCUUGAGUGAAGUAGAGGCAGGCGGAAUUCCCGGUGUAGCGGUGAAAUGCGUAGAGAUCGGGAGGAACACCAGGGGCGAAGGCGGCCUGCUGGGCUUUAGCUGACGCUGAGGCACGAAAGCAUGGGUAGCAAACAGGAUUAGAUACCCUGGUGGUCCAUGCCGUAAACGAUGAUUACUAGGUGUGGGGGGUCUGACCCCUUCCGUGCCGGAGUUAACACAAUAAGUAAUCCACCUGGGAAGUACGACCGCAAGGUUGAA